Molecule: ribosomal RNA, 405 nt
Filed under: uncultured bacterium
Lineage: Bacteria
Description: bacterial SSU rRNA
Rfam family: Bacterial small subunit ribosomal RNA
Source: RNAcentral
UGGGGAAUAUUGGGCAAUGGGCGCAAGCCUGACCCAGCAACGCCGCGUGAAGGAUGAAGGUUUUCGGAUUGUAAACUUCUGUCGCGAGGGACGAAGAAUGACGGUACCUCGUAAGAAAGCCCCGGCUAACUACGUGCCAGCAGCCGCGGUAAUACGUAGGGGGCAAGCGUUGUCCGGAAUGACUGGGCGUAAAGGGAGUGUAGGCGGCUUAUCAAGUUAGAUGUGAAAUCCCGCGGCUUAACCGCGGAACUGCAUCUAAAACUGGUGAGCUGGAGUGCAGGAGAGGUGAGUGGAAUUCCUAGUGUAGCGGUGGAAUGCGUAGAUAUUAGGAGGAACACCAGAGGCGAAGGCGACUCACUGGACUGUAACUGACGCUGAGGCUCGAAAGCGUGGGGAGCAAACAGG